ACAGAAGCUGCCAAGAAAUGUGGUAUGAAUGCCAGCACCCAGGUGCUGCACCCCGCCAGAGACAGACUGAGUGGGGAGAAAUGAAGGGAAGCAAGUGGACUUUAGCUUCUUGGAUAGAGCUUAGAGAAGCAAAUAUAAUGGCAACUCAACUCAUGGCAAGGGCUCUGUUCAUGUGUGGAUUGAUUAUUGACAUCAGUGAUGAUCAGAGAGAUGGGAGUGGGACAGAGUUAGACGGAAUUGACUGUAGAAAUCACUCUUAGACCAGCUAAUUUCUGUCUUCAGUACAACGGAAAGAGGAAAUAGACUUGUGUCUGAAAACAUCCCAACCUAUCAGUGAUGCAGCUAUAUUGUCAGGGGAAAAUAUACUGAAAAAGUAAAUGCAGUGGAAAAGCGAAUGACACCAUAGAUGUCUUGUAGUUGAGAAGAAUUCAAGGCUUCAAAUUGGAGGAGACCACUGAAUCCUGGUGAGAAGCAAUUAAAGAAUAACCAGAAGCAUUGUGUGAAGUGGCAAGCCCACCCUUGAAAGUCAUUGCUGCUAUCCUCUCUGAGCAGUCUCACCGGAUGCCUAUGUGGGAAAUACCAUUCCAUCUGUUAUGGCUUGUGUCUGGAUGUCCCCCAAAGCCUCACGUAGUGAGAGGUGGAGCUUCUUCAAAGGUGGCUGGAUCUAGAAUGUAUGAUGCUGGCAUUGAAUCAUGAUGCAAUGCUAGGAUCCAGGGAACUAGCAUUAAGGGUGUGAGUGCUACCUGCUCUAAGGAGCCUGGAAAAAAUAUAAGGGAUAGAAAGAGCUGUGGUUGCCCCUUGUUGCUUUACUGCCUUCUGCCUGUUGUGAACUGUUUCUCUUCUGGAUGCCUGUCUGCCAUGCCACCCGUCCUUGGAGCCAGCUGACUGUAACUGAAACCUCUACAAACUGUAAGCCAAAAUCAACCUUUCCUCCUUUUACUUUGAGUGUCGAGUAUUUUGUCUCAGCAAUGAGAAAGUAACUGAGACACCACCUCAUCUUGCCACUGAGGGAUCACAUCCAAACGAUUUCCUUCUGAGCUCCCUCUUCCAUCCUACUGUGAAGACUGCCUGCACAGUAGCACUGUUUAAUACUGUAAGUUAGCAUCUGAGGGCUCCUUACUAUAAGAAAGAACCUGUGCUAAGUUCUUUGUAUUAAAAACCCCCCUUUUUCAUUAAAACAUCCCUGGAAAAUAGGUUAUAUUAGUAUCCCUAGCAUGUAGAGGAGAGACAUGAAACUCUGACAGAACAUACUUACCGAAGUUUUCAAGGUUAAAAGGACAGAUCUUUGACCCAAGCAGCCAAUUUUCAGUCAUUAUUCAAAAUCUCAUAUCCUUUACAAAUCAUACAUUAGGUAAGGGGUUAUAUUAAAAAUAUAUAGGGAACUCAAACAAUUUGUUAGCAAGAAAACAAAUAAUCUGAUUUAAAAUGGGCAGAGGAUUUCAAUAGGCAUUUCUCUACAAAUGGUGAAUGAAUAUGAAAAAAUGCUCAAUACCCUUAAUCAUCAGGUUAAAACACAAUAUGAUAUUAUUUCAUGAUUAUAAUAGUGGCUUUUAUAAAACAAAAAAAAGAUAAGUGAUGUUGGCGAGGAUAUGAAAAAAAAGGAACCCUGUACAUUGCUGGUGGGAAUGUAAAUUUCUACAGCCAUUAUGGAAAAAAUGUGGAGAUUCCUCAAAAGAGUAAAAGUAGAGCUGCCUUUUGAUCCAGCAAUCCUAUCCUGGGUACAGAUCCAGAGGAAAUAAAGUCAGCAUGUUGAAGAGACAUCUGCAUUACCAUGUUCAUUGCAGCACUAUUUACAAUGCCAAGAAAUGAGAUCAACCUGAGGAACCAUUGAUGAAAGAUGAAUGAAUAAGAAAACGGCUGUAUAUACAACAUGCAGUACUAGUCAGCCUUUUAAAAACAGAAGGAAAUCUUGUCAUUUGUGACAACACAGUUGAGCCCAGAGGACAUUAUGCUUAGUGAAAUAAACCAGACACCAAAAUACAAAUACUAC
Molecule: long non-coding RNA, 1990 nt
Organism: Heterocephalus glaber (naked mole-rat)
Lineage: Eukaryota; Metazoa; Chordata; Mammalia; Rodentia; Bathyergidae
Source: Ensembl